This is a small nucleolar RNA of Tripterygium wilfordii, 88 nucleotides long. RefSeq annotates it as small nucleolar RNA snoR31. The transcript has a single exon. NCBI's taxonomy places the organism in Eukaryota, Viridiplantae, Streptophyta, Magnoliopsida, Celastrales, Celastraceae. The record is from RefSeq and is a predicted model, not a curated record.
AAGAUGGUGAUGAAGCACUAAUAUCCAACACUUGAACUGAGGCAUAUUGUCGAGUGAUGUUUUAACAUUCAUUGGCUUCUGAAUCUGA